CAGCCGUAAACUAUGCGCGUUAGGUGUACUGGUGACCACGAGUCACCGGGGUGCCGAAGGGUAACCGUGAAACGUGCCGCCUGGGAAGUACGGUCGCAAGGCUGAAACUUAAAGGAAUUGGCGGGGGGAGCACCACAACGGGUGGAGCCUGCGGUUUAAUUGGACUCAACGCCGGAAAUCUCACCGGAUAGGACAGACAUAUGAUAGUCGGGCUGAAGACUCUACUUGAUGAUCUGAGAGGUGGUGCAUGGCGUCAGUGACU
RNAcentral lists this ribosomal RNA (262 nucleotides) under uncultured archaeon. RNAcentral describes it as "partial 16S ribosomal RNA". It matches the Rfam family "Archaeal small subunit ribosomal RNA", at positions 748 to 1008 of the family's 1478-position model. The record is from RNAcentral.